AACUUGGGUUGCUGUACUUAGCCGUCCCAGCCUCUUUCUUUUUCUCCUCGUGACCGUCAGAGUGACCGGCAGUGGAAAAAGAAGUCUUGUAGAGCUGACCCAGUUCGCUAAACCAAGGUCAAGCCAAAGUCAAAGCCUAGUGCAAGUGCCAAGUGCGGCUCAAAGUGAUCAUUUAAUUUGAGUCGACGCGCCAGUUAUAUAUUGCCAAUACUGGGGCAGCCGUUCGACCAUUUGGAAAACGAGCGCCCACAGUGUACUAAAAUUUUUCAAAACAGUGGUGCAAUUCUGUUGAGGAUUAGCACCACUAGUAUCUACGUAUUGAAACGCUGGUCUAGAAGUUACGGAUUGGUUAUUCCCGGAGACCUCUAUUGGCCACGUGCCCGUACCACCGGUUAAACCCCCACCGUUUGACAUUCGGAUGAGGCGGUAGCCGAGAGCAUGGACUUGCUCCUCCAGUAAACCCGAUCGGUGGGCUCUGCAAGCGUCGCCGGGACCCGUUCGACCCAUGGGGAUGAUCUGACUGACUCUUCAAAUACACCAGUCGCCCCACGAGCCAUCAAGUGUGCGGGUGUACCUAACCUCACGCCGCAGAUGGACCGCGGUCAUUGACCCUUGGCAUCGGAAGCAGCAGAAUUUUCCGGCGCCCGGUACAAUCGUGUGCCACCUUCAGACCUCGAGUAGGAACUCGGUCUCCAGCCGGGAAGCAUCGACCCCGCCUCGGAUUUAGUUAUAUUUUCUAUCUUUCUUUCGACAUUAGACCCGAUAUGCGAAACCCUGUUUUUUUAUCCGCUUUCUGUUUAACUACGUUCUUUUGAUACGGAAAAAAUUUGCAACAGCCAAUUAAAUCCGGUAUAAACAAAAAGGGAAUUCCUAUCCAUGGGCUAAAUCGAACUUGAACAAAUGAGUAGUGUAUUAAUACCGAUUA
This is a long non-coding RNA of Drosophila miranda, 925 nucleotides long. RefSeq lists it as uncharacterized. The transcript is spliced from 2 exons. Lineage: Eukaryota; Metazoa; Arthropoda; Insecta; Diptera; Drosophilidae. The record is from RefSeq and is a predicted model, not a curated record.